Molecule: long non-coding RNA, 1126 nt
Organism: Corvus hawaiiensis (hawaiian crow)
Lineage: Eukaryota; Metazoa; Chordata; Aves; Passeriformes; Corvidae
Exons: 3
Source: RefSeq, a predicted model, not a curated record
UUCCCGCUGCCAGGCUGGCUUUGGGGCUGGGAAGGGGAAAAGAUCCUUUCUGGCAGCUGGCGAAGGUGGAGGUGCUCCCAGAGGUUGUUGGCUCUUGACAGCAGGAGCUCAGAGAUGGCGAUGGGUUUUGCCAGAGCUGGGUGUGGACCCUUAUACCAAACUGGCACUUGCCUUUCCAGGCACUUGGUAGCCCUCUGGCUGUUUGUAGGGAUGUUGGAUGCCCGGGGGCUUUGCCUGCAGCCGAGGGCACUCCUUCCUCACUCUCUCUCAGCUCUGAACUGGCUUGUGCAGCGGGCUGAGAGUAAAGCAGCGUUUCCUCAUCACCCAAGGGCUUUGCUGGGCAUGGAUGGGGCUGGAGUGGGGGCUGGAUGGGAGGAGCCGGGGCUCCGCUAACCUGAUUAACCAGCUUCCGAACCGAUCUCGCCAAAGCCAAAGCCAAAGCCGGCCGGCUGCCACCUCCUCCCGCCCUCCUCGCAGGGCACGGCUGCUCCUAAGGGACCCCUUCUCCCAGCCUCUGGCAUCCAGGAGCAGCCGGGUGCGGUGGGAGGUGGGAUGCGACCGCGGGCAUCGCCUCUCCGGGCACCGGGAUCUCUUCCCUCAACCCUCGCCUCUCUUCCUCAGCGCCAGCGGCGAGGGCCGGCGGCGGAGCUGGAGAGCUGGAUCCUGCUGAGAGGAUGAAAACAUGGGGCUCAAGUUAUCCUGCCUGAAAGGCUUGAAGAUGUGUGUGAGCAGCGGGAACGGCGGCGACGGGACCCUGACGGUGUCCUCGGGACAGAAGCACCUGCACGUGCCCUCCAUCAUCGUCACGCCGCCCACGCCCACGGGGACCACGCUGUCCCGCGAGGGGCGGCGCGGCGAGGGCCCGUCACCCUGCAGCCAGUGCUGAGCGGGGACACGGGGACAGCCAGCCCGGCAGGACCUGUCCCCGCUCGGCCGCGAUGGAGCCGCAGCCUGGAGGAUGCGGCUCGGCCGGACGCGGCUCCGCGGGAGCUCCGCAGGGACACACGGAGCACCCACGCGGGUGGGUUUGGACAACAGGGACUGCGUUUUGUCCCUUUUCCUAACAGCACCAGGGAGGGGGAUCCCCCCCCCCCCCCCCGAUGAAUAAAACCCCUGGGGUUCCGCA